UUAAAUAAGUAAUCAGUAAAGUAACGGGAUUACUUUUUUGGGGAAGUAAUCAGUAAUUAGUUACUGAUUACUUUUUUCGAGUAACUUGACCAACACUGAUCCUGAGUGGGUGCAUAUUUCAGCCAUGUGACACAGUGAUUGAUCCACAGCACUGCAGACAGACGUGUUGUGGAUAAGACACUAUCCUGGCAGUACGUAUGGGGCCGAUCGUCAGAAAGUCUGUGUCAUGUCAGUGUGCCUCCAACAUGUGUGUAGCAUAUACAGUAUGUAAUGCUUUGAUGGAUGAGUGUUUUGAUAAUGGUCAUGUUUUUAUCAUUGUGAUGAUAAUGUAAUGCAGGUUGAUGUUCUUUUGUGCUGAGGGAGAAAAAAGAGAAAGCUUGAUGCCUCACAGACCGUGGAAAGGGAAGACAGAGACAGGCCAUUUUAGGCGAACACCCAUCUUCCUACAGUGAUAAUGGUUAUGGUAAGUAAGGAUUUUUCACAAGCAUGAAGACACAAUGCACAGUACAAAGACAGGAAUAAUCACAAUUAAAUAGAAAAUAAAAACUCAUUUGAUGGCAAAAAAAAGACACUCGGUUAACUCUUUGCCUUCUUUCUCUCGUAGUUGAUGUUUUGUCUUUCCGUCAUCUGCCAGGUGUCUGACCUGGUUCUGCUGAAGACAGCUUUUUGUGUUUACAAUGACUUCUUCCUUUCGACUGUUGUGAAGGCAAAGCACAUGGCAACAGUGACCUGGUUUCUCUCUUUGAUGCUUCGAAAUCUACCUGUUUUGAACUCCCACUAUGUCGAUACAUCCACGGGGCUAAAAAAGUUGGAACACUGAGUAAAAU
This is a long non-coding RNA of Haplochromis burtoni (Burton's mouthbrooder), 827 nucleotides long. RefSeq lists it as uncharacterized. The record is from RefSeq and is a predicted model, not a curated record. The transcript is spliced from 2 exons. Lineage: Eukaryota; Metazoa; Chordata; Actinopteri; Cichliformes; Cichlidae.